UUAAGCGACUAAGCGUACACGGUGGAUGCCCUGGCAGUCAGAGGCGAUGAAGGACGUGCUAAUCUGCGAAAAGCGUCGGUAAGGUGAUAUGAACCGUUAUAGCCGGCGAUGUCCGAAUGGGGAAACCCAGUGCAAUUCGUUGCACUAUCGUUAACUGAAUACAUAGGUUAACGAGGCGAACCGGGGGAACUGAAACAUCUAAGUACCCCGAGGAAAAGAAAUCAACCGAGAUUCCCCCAGUAGCGGCGAGCGAACGGGGAGCAGCCCAGAGUCUGAAUCAGCUUGUGUGUUAGUGGAACGGUCUGGAAAGUCCGACGGUACAGGGUGAUAGUCCCGUACACCAAAAUGCACAGGCUGUGAACUCGAAGAGUAGGGCGGGACACGUGGUAUCCUGUCUGAAUAUGGGGGGACCAUCCUCCAAGGCUAAAUACUCCUGACUGACCGAUAGUGAACCAGUACCGUGAGGGAAAGGCGAAAAGAACCCCGGCGAGGGGAGUGAAAAAGAACCUGAAACCGUGUACGUACAAGCAGUGGGAGCACCUUCGGGUGUGACUGCGUACCUUUUGUAUAAUGGGUCAGCGACUUAUAUUCUGUAGCAAGGUUAACCGUAUAGGGGAGCCGCAGGGAAACCGAGUCUUAACUGGGCGUUAAGUUGCAGGGUAUAGACCCGAAACCCGGUGAUCUAGCCAUGGGCAGGUUGAAGGUUGGGUAACACUAACUGGAGGACCGAACCGACUAAUGUUGAAAAAUUAGCGGAUGACUUGUGGCUGGGGGUGAAAGGCCAAUCAAACCGGGAGAUAGCUGGUUCUCCCCGAAAGCUAUUUAGGUAGCGCCUCGUGAAUUCAUCUUCGGGGGUAGAGCACUGUUUCGGCUAGGGGGUCAUCCCGACUUACCAACCCGAUGCAAACUACGAAUACCGAAGAAUGUUAUCACGGGAGACACACGGCGGGUGCUAACGUCCGUCGUGAAGAGGGAAACAACCCAGACCGCCAGCUAAGGUCCCAAAGUCAUGGUUAAGUGGGAAACGAUGUGGGAAGGCACAGACAGCCAGGAUGUUGGCUUAGAAGCAGCCAUCAUUUAAAGAAAGCGUAAUAGCUCACUGGUCGAGUCGGCCUGCGCGGAAGAUGUAACGGGGCUAAACCAUGCACCGAAGCUGCGGCAGCGACACUAUGUGUUGUUGGGUAGGGGAGCGUUCUGUAAGCCUGCGAAGGUGACCUGUGAGGGUUGCUGGAGGUAUCAGAAGUGCGAAUGCUGACAUAAGUAACGAUAAAGCGGGUGAAAAGCCCGCUCGCCGGAAGACCAAGGGUUCCUGUCCAACGUUAAUCGGGGCAGGGUGAGUCGACCCCUAAGGCGAGGCCGAAAGGCGUAGUCGAUGGGAAACAGGUUAAUAUUCCUGUACUUGGUGUUACUGCGAAGGGGGGACGGAGAAGGCUAUGUUAGCCGGGCGACGGUUGUCCCGGUUUAAGCAUGUAGGCUGGUUGUCCAGGCAAAUCCGGAUAAUCAAGGCUGAGGUGUGAUGACGAGGCACUACGGUGCUGAAGUAACAAAUGCCCUGCUUCCAGGAAAAGCCUCUAAGCAUCAGGUAACAUUGAAUCGUACCCCAAACCGACACAGGUGGUCAGGUAGAGAAUACCAAGGCGCUUGAGAGAACUCGGGUGAAGGAACUAGGCAAAAUGGUGCCGUAACUUCGGGAGAAGGCACGCUGGUGUGUAGGUGAAGCCCCUGCGGGUGGAGCUGAGACCAGUCGAAGAUACCAGCUGGCUGCAACUGUUUAUUAAAAACACAGCACUGUGCAAACACGAAAGUGGACGUAUACGGUGUGACGCCUGCCCGGUGCCGGAAGGUUAAUUGAUGGGGUUAUCCGUAAGGAGAAGCUCUUGAUCGAAGCCCCGGUAAACGGCGGCCGUAACUAUAACGGUCCUAAGGUAGCGAAAUUCCUUGUCGGGUAAGUUCCGACCUGCACGAAUGGCGUAAUGAUGGCCAGGCUGUCUCCACCCGAGACUCAGUGAAAUUGAACUCGCUGUGAAGAUGCAGUGUACCCGCGGCAAGACGGAAAGACCCCGUGAACCUUUACUAUAGCUUGACACUGAACAUUGAGCCUUGAUGUGUAGGAUAGGUGGGAGGCUUUGAAGCGUGGACGCCAGUCUGCGUGGAGCCAACCUUGAAAUACCACCCUUUAAUGUUUGAUGUUCUAACGUUGGCCCCUGACCGGGGUUGCGGACAGUGUCUGGUGGGUAGUUUGACUGGGGCGGUCUCCUCCCAAAGCGUAACGGAGGAGCACGAAGGUUAGCUAAUCCUGGUCGGACAUCAGGAGGUUAGUGCAAUGGCAUAAGCUAGCUUGACUGCGAGCGUGACGGCGCGAGCAGGUGCGAAAGCAGGUCAUAGUGAUCCGGUGGUUCUGAAUGGAAGGGCCAUCGCUCAACGGAUAAAAGGUACUCCGGGGAUAACAGGCUGAUACCGCCCAAGAGUUCAUAUCGACGGCGGUGUUUGGCACCUCGAUGUCGGCUCAUCACAUCCUGGGGCUGAAGUAGGUCCCAAGGGUAUGGCUGUUCGCCAUUUAAAGUGGUACGCGAGCUGGGUUUAGAACGUCGUGAGACAGUUCGGUCCCUAUCUGCCGUGGGCGCUGGAGAAUUGAGGGGGGCUGCUCCUAGUACGAGAGGACCGGAGUGGACGCAUCACUGGUGUUCGGGUUGUCAUGCCAAUGGCACUGCCCGGUAGCUAAAUGCGGAAGAGAUAAGUGCUGAAAGCAUCUAAGCACGAAACUUGCCCCGAGAUGAGUUCUCCCUGAGACUUUAAGUCUCCUGAAGGAACGUUGAAGACGACGACGUUGAUAGGCCGGGUGUGUAAGCGCAGCGAUGCGUUGAGCUAACCGGUACUAAUGAACCGUGAGGCUUAACCUU
Molecule: ribosomal RNA, 2900 nt
Filed under: Klebsiella pneumoniae
Lineage: Bacteria; Pseudomonadati; Pseudomonadota; Gammaproteobacteria; Enterobacterales; Enterobacteriaceae
Description: 23S ribosomal RNA
Rfam family: Bacterial large subunit ribosomal RNA
Source: RNAcentral